This 1372-nucleotide ribosomal RNA is filed under the name Latilactobacillus sakei. RNAcentral's name for it is "bacterial SSU rRNA". It matches the Rfam family "Bacterial small subunit ribosomal RNA", at positions 84 to 1442 of the family's 1533-position model. The record is from RNAcentral. Lineage: Bacteria; Bacillati; Bacillota; Bacilli; Lactobacillales; Lactobacillaceae.
CAUUUGAGUGAGUGGCGGACGGGUGAGUAACACGUGGGUAACCUGCCCUAAAGUGGGGGAUAACAUUUGGAAACAGAUGCUAAUACCGCAUAAAACCUAACACCGCAUGGUGUAGGGUUGAAAGAUGGUUUCGGCUAUCACUUUAGGAUGGACCCGCGGUGCAUUAGUUAGUUGGUGAGGUAAAGGCUCACCAAGACCGUGAUGCAUAGCCGACCUGAGAGGGUAAUCGGCCACACUGGGACUGAAGACACGGCCCAGACUCCUACGGGAGGCAGCAGUAGGGAAUCUUCCACAAUGGACGAAAGUCUGAUGGAGCAACGCCGCGUGAGUGAAGAAGGUUUUCGGAUCGUAAAACUCUGUUGUUGGAGAAGAAUGUAUCUGAUAGUAACUGAUCAGGUAGUGACGGUAUCCAACCAGAAAGCCACGGCUAACUACGUGCCAGCAGCCGCGGUAAUACGUAGGUGGCAAGCGUUGUCCGGAUUUAUUGGGCGUAAAGCGAGCGCAGGCGGUUUCUUAAGUCUGAUGUGAAAGCCUUCGGCUCAACCGAAGAAGUGCAUCGGAAACUGGGAAACUUGAGUGCAGAAGAGGACAGUGGAACUCCAUGUGUAGCGGUGAAAUGCGUAGAUAUAUGGAAGAACACCAGUGGCGAAGGCGGCUGUCUGGUCUGUAACUGACGCUGAGGCUCGAAAGCAUGGGUAGCAAACAGGAUUAGAUACCCUGGUAGUCCAUGCCGUAAACGAUGAGUGCUAGGUGUUGGAGGGUUUCCGCCCUUCAGUGCCGCAGCUAACGCAUUAAGCACUCCGCCUGGGGAGUACGACCGCAAGGUUGAAACUCAAAGGAAUUGACGGGGGCCCGCACAAGCGGUGGAGCAUGUGGUUUAAUUCGAAGCAACGCGAAGAACCUUACCAGGUCUUGACAUCCUUUGACCACUCUAGAGAUAGAGCUUUCCCUUCGGGGACAAAGUGACAGGUGGUGCAUGGUUGUCGUCAGCUCGUGUCGUGAGAUGUUGGGUUAAGUCCCGCAACGAGCGCAACCCUUAUUACUAGUUGCCAGCAUUUAGUUGGGCACUCUAGUGAGACUGCCGGUGACAAACCGGAGGAAGGUGGGGACGACGUCAAAUCAUCAUGCCCCUUAUGACCUGGGCUACACACGUGCUACAAUGGAUGGUACAACGAGUUGCGAGACCGCGAGGUUUAGCUAAUCUCUUAAAACCAUUCUCAGUUCGGAUUGUAGGCUGCAACUCGCCUACAUGAAGCCGGAAUCGCUAGUAAUCGCGGAUCAGCAUGCCGCGGUGAAUACGUUCCCGGGCCUUGUACACACCGCCCGUCACACCAUGAGAGUUUGUAACACCCAAAGCCGGUGAGGUAACCCU